RNAcentral lists this transfer RNA (60 nucleotides) under Diplodiscus mehrai. Its description in RNAcentral is "tRNA-Ser". Lineage: Eukaryota; Metazoa; Platyhelminthes; Trematoda; Plagiorchiida; Diplodiscidae. The record is from RNAcentral.
GAGGGUUUUGUGUGUUGUCGCUGCUAACGAUGAUAGGGGUUUUGAAAAACCCAGCUCUCU